AUGACCAUACCCUCGAAAUCACUUCUAUCUUUGCUUGCUAGAUGCUCGCUCUUUUGCUAUGCCUAUGCUAUGAUACCUACCACUUGCUUAUCAUGCCUUCCAAAUUGCCAUGUCAAACCUCUAACCCGCCAUUUCCUAGCAAACCGUUGUUUGGCUAUGUUACCGAUUUGCUCAGCCCCUCUUAUAGCGUUGCUAGUUGCAGGUGAAGUUUGGAGAUCGUUCCUUUUUGGCACAUUGUUUAUUGUUGGGAUAUCACCAUAUUAUCUUAUUUAUCUUAAUGCACCUAUAUACUUGGUAAAGGGUGGAAGGCUCGGCCUUUUGCCUAGUGUUUUGUUCCACUCUUGCCGCCCUAGUUUCUGUCAUAUCGGUGUUAUGUUCCCGGAUUUUUGCGUUCCUUACACAGUUGGGUUAUAA
Molecule: ribosomal RNA, 414 nt
Filed under: Triticum aestivum (bread wheat)
Lineage: Eukaryota; Viridiplantae; Streptophyta; Magnoliopsida; Poales; Poaceae
Description: partial small subunit ribosomal RNA
Source: RNAcentral